Molecule: ribosomal RNA, 320 nt
Filed under: uncultured eukaryote
Lineage: Eukaryota
Description: partial 18S ribosomal RNA
Rfam family: Eukaryotic small subunit ribosomal RNA
Source: RNAcentral
CCCUUAGAUGUUCUGGGCCGCACGCGCGCUACACUGACGAAUGCAACGAGCUUAUAACCUUGGCCGAAAGGUCUGGGUAAUCUCCAAAUUUCGUCGUGAUGGGGAUAGAUUAUUGCAAUUAUUAAUCUUCAACGAGGAAUGCCUAGUAAGCGCAAGUCAUCAGCUUGCGUUGAUUACGUCCCUGCCCUUUGUACACACCGCCCGUCGCUUGUACCGAUUGGAUGGUCCGGUGAAAUCUUCGGAUAGCUGGUAGUUGGCUUGCCAUCUACUGCUAAAAGUUGCUUAAACCUUAUCAUCUAGAGGAACAAGAAGUCGUAACA